CGUUAGAGUUCUCUUCUCAGUCGACAUUGAAAGAAUUUGUUGCAGCAUGUGCUUAAGACCGUAAAUCAGGACCCAUCACUGUUUCCUCAAGAGUGGAAUCUGGAGAGAAGUGAGUGCACUGUCGGCGAGUUUCCACCUUUCUGCAAAUGUUUUAUCUGUCUAAGAUGCUGUUUAUUUUAUGACAAUACAAGUGGUUUGUUUCUGUAUAGAGCUUUUUUUUAUUUUGACAACCAUUAAAGGAGACUUUAAGACCCCUCAA
Molecule: long non-coding RNA, 259 nt
Organism: Pimephales promelas (fathead minnow)
Lineage: Eukaryota; Metazoa; Chordata; Actinopteri; Cypriniformes; Leuciscidae
Source: RefSeq, a predicted model, not a curated record